AUACGGAGGAUCCGAGCGUUAUCCGGAUUUAUUGGGUUUAAAGGGAGCGUAGGUGGAUUGUUAAGUCAGUUGUGAAAGUUUGCGGCUCAACCGUAAAAUUGCAGUUGAAACUGGCAGUCUUGAGUACAGUAGAGGUGGGCGGAAUCCGUGGUGUAGCGGUGAAAUGCUUAGAUAUCACGAAGAACUCCGAUUGCGAAGGCAGCUCACUAGAAUGUUACUGACACUGAUGCUCGAAAGUGUGGGUAUCAAACAGGAUUAGAUACCCUGGUAGUCCACACAGUAAACGAUGAAUACUCGCUGUUUGCGAUAUACAGUAAGCGGCCAAGCGAAAGCAUUAAGUAUUCCACCUGGGGAGUACGCCGGCAACGGUGAAACUCAAAUGAAUUGACGGGG
RNAcentral lists this ribosomal RNA (393 nucleotides) under uncultured bacterium. RNAcentral describes it as "partial 16S ribosomal RNA". It matches the Rfam family "Bacterial small subunit ribosomal RNA", at positions 523 to 918 of the family's 1533-position model. The record is from RNAcentral.